Molecule: long non-coding RNA, 1263 nt
Filed under: Junco hyemalis (dark-eyed junco)
Lineage: Eukaryota; Metazoa; Chordata; Aves; Passeriformes; Passerellidae
Description: lncRNA (ENSJHYG00000002780.1)
Source: RNAcentral
GGGGGUAAUUUGGGGGUCCCGGGGGUCACGUGGCCCCCCCAGCCCCUCCCCCCCCCUCCCGGUACCUGCGGCGGCGGCGGCAGCGGGAGGAGACACGUGGGGCGGAGUGUGCUGCGCAUGCGCGGCGCCCCGCGCUGCUAUUGGCUGGUGCGCGGCGGACUUCCGGCGCUGCUGAGAUGACGCAAAGGGAGCGCCGCGCCCGCCGCGCUUGGCGCCCCCCAGCGGAGCGGAGGAGCGAAAACACCGAGAGGCCAACGGGGGGGGCGUGGAGACCCCCGAAAAUCCCCGAAAUCACCCCAAAAAUAACCUGAAAAACCCCGCAAUCACCCGGAACCUCCCGUAAUCAGCCCAAAAACACCCGAAAAACCCCGAAAUCCGCCCACAAACAGAAAAAACCAAAAAUCAGCCCUAAAACACCCGAAAAACCCCAAAAUCACUCUAACAGUCCCCAACCACUCCAAAAACUCCCAAAGCACCCAAAACCACCCCAAAAUUACCCUAAAACCUCCCAAGUCACCACAAAAUCACCCUAAAUCACCCCAAAAACACCCAAAACCACCCAGAAGCCACCCAAAAUCACAAAAUUACCCUAAAACCCGCCAAAUCACCCCAAAACCACCCCAAGUCACCCUCAAAAAAACUCAAAACCACUAAAAACCCCUGAAACCACCCAAAAUCACCACCAAACCAAAAACUCCCAAAACCACCCCAAAAUGACCCAAAAUCACCGUAAUUUACCCCAAAAUCCCCAUUAAUGACACGCACAGAGGGGGCAGGGCCCGGCGUUUAUUGGGGGUCGGGAAAGGGGCCGGGGAGACCCCCGGGAGUGGGGAGGGGUCCCUGCACAUUUUAGGGUGAAUCUCCCCCAAUUUUGGGGUAAAUCCUCCCCAGUUUAGGAGUGAAUCCCCCCAGAUAUUUUGGGGUCAAUCCCCCCAUUUUUGGGGUGAUUCCCCUCCAUUUUUGGGGUGAAUCUCCCCCGUUAUUUUGGGGAGGGAUCUCUGCAGAUAUUGGGGUGAAUCCCCCCAGAUUUUGGGGUGAAUUUCCCUGUUAUUUUGGGGUGAAUCCCCCCAGAUUUUGGGGGAAAUCACCCCAGAUUUUGGGGCGGGGUUUCUGCAGAUAUUUUGGGGCGAAUCCCCCCGAUUUCGGGUCACUGUUUCUGCUGCAGCGCCUCCUUGCGCGCCGCGUCCUGCAGCAGCUGCGUGUCCACCUCGUCCGCGGGCAGCUGCACGUAGCGAACCACGGAGCCGCGGAUGAAGCAGUUCU